This 302-nucleotide ribosomal RNA is filed under the name uncultured bacterium. Its description in RNAcentral is "partial 16S ribosomal RNA". It matches the Rfam family "Bacterial small subunit ribosomal RNA", at positions 508 to 808 of the family's 1533-position model. The record is from RNAcentral.
GCAGUAGCCACGGGAAUACGGAGGGAGCUAGCGUUGUUCGGAAUUACUGGGCGUAAAGCGCGCGUAGGCGGUUACUCAAGUCAGAGGUGAAAGCCCGGGGCUCAACCCCGGAACUGCCUUUGAAACUAGGUGACUAGAAUCUUGGAGAGGUCAGUGGAAUUCCGAGUGUAGAGGUGAAAUUCGUAGAUAUUCGGAAGAACACCAGUGGCGAAGGCGACUGACUGGACAAGUAUUGACGCUGAGGUGCGAAAGCGUGGGGAGCAAACAGGAUUAGAUACCCCUGUAGUCCCUGUCUCUUAACA